AAGCUGAAGGCAAUCUCGAGCAGUCUGAAGAAUGUUCUGUAGAAAGGAAUGCCAAAGAACCACGGUGCUGUGAAGAAGGGAGCCAGACACUGAAAACUGUGCCCAGAGAGAUCUCAAAGAACAGCUUCUGGUCAUCAAAGGUGAAUGAGCAAAGUUCCUGGCACUCUUGUGACAAACAAAUCCUAACAAGGUAUUUCCAAGCCUGGAGGAGACAUACCCUUUGGAAGAGGGCAGCCACGCAGCUUUACAGACACCAGCUGCUUCAGAAGGGCUUUGGUGCUCUGCAGUGGACUGUGCACCCAAGGAGGACACAACUGGAGGUGGCCCAGCAGAAACAUGCUUCAACUCUGCUAGCUGCCAGCUUCCAGAGGGUGAGCAC
This 379-nucleotide long non-coding RNA is filed under the name Lonchura striata (white-rumped munia). RNAcentral describes it as "domestica (Bengalese finch) lncRNA (ENSLSDG00000008968.1)". Lineage: Eukaryota; Metazoa; Chordata; Aves; Passeriformes; Estrildidae. The record is from RNAcentral.